UGUCUGCACCCGGGAUCCGAACCAGUGAAUCCCGGGGCUGCCAAAGCAGAACAUCUGAACUUAACGGCUGCACCAUCGGGCUAGCCCCAGGAAACAUUCUCUUAAAUAAACCUUUCAAAGCAGUUUCCCAAGGACGAGCAAUAGUAACCAAGUGUCUCUCAACGCCUGGAUUCUGACAUCCAUCAGAAAUAAUCUUUGCCAAACUCCUCAAAUACUCUUGACAAACCCCCGCCUCUAUGAAACACAAAACCAACCCCCUAGAACUCAGCCCCUGAGAAGGCAGGAGGUGGGAAGAGUUACCUGAGACGCCUCCCUGGGGCUGCAAAACCUGGCACAAAAGCACUUUGAAAACUAACAGAUCGUACACAUGGGUAUCAACAGUGGUACCAAGGCCCUAGAGGGUCUCAUGUUUCUUCACAUUUUACAAACACCAGUUUAAGGUGGUGAUUAAUGAGGUAACAAUCAAAUCACAAAGAGCUUUGAAAACCAAGUUAAGGUGUUUAGACUUCAUCCCGAAGGUAGCUGGGAGACACUGAAGAGCAGUUGUGGGGAUGGCACAGGAGGCUGACCAGGGAAACUAAGGAAGACUGUCACUAGUACCCAGUGCCUAGGUGACAGAGAGACUCGAGUAUUUAAAAUCAGACUUGGGGGAUUCUCUCCAGCAGUGUCAGGAACCUGGACAGACACUGCACACAUAUAGGGCUGUGAUUUUUUUUCCACAGAGGGUGUGAAGAGGGAAAUGGGACAACAGAGCUGAUGGUAAUAGCAACAGAGGAGAUGAAGAACGAGUCAUGCAUUAUAGAUGAAAGACAAGACAGUCAAAAGAUGGGAAGCAAACAGAAAACCACAAUUCCAAUGGGCUGACGGCCCCAAGAGGAACGGAGGGGGCAGACGGGACAAAAAGGAGGAGCUGGGACAGUGAAAACUGAAUUCUGAGGAUGGCAAGAUCCAAGGUGUGCGACCCUCGGUGGCUGAAGAGGAAUGCGUGGAGUCUAAAAUAUUGGCUCCUGUGGGCUUUACAGCUGAGUCAUUGUUCGAAUCUUCUGAAGCCUUCCCCAGGAGUACAAAAGCACCCAGAGUCUGAUGGUGGCAGCAGCAAUGGCAGCAAGAGCUUGGCACCAGAUGCUUGGAUUGCAAGAAACUGAGCUUGAGCUGAUCAACACAAGCAGGAGGCAGAAGAAUGGGAGAGACCAUGUCUGAACUCCGCAGUUCAAAAAUACCCAGGAUUAACACAGUGGCUCAGCAUUCAUCAUUCAUUCAAUAAAUUCUUAUUAAAAAGCCACUGAGCCAGGCACUGUGCUAUAUGUUGGGAAUACAGUAGUGGUGAACUGGACAGUUGAGGUGGAUUUGCAGGAGACCUGGUUGGGCCCAGGAAGUCCAUGUUACACAGAGGAGGAACCCAACCCUAUUUUUGAAUGUUGCCUCAGAAAGGCUGUUUGGAAGUACAGCAAUGGCAGAAGCAAAAUGCUGACAAUUCCCUUCUCAUCUCAGGCUGAUCUAGCCUGCAGACCAAGGGGAACCUGUGAGUGACACAGCACAGGGAACAUACCAUCCACUGGUUAGCAGUUAGGGCAGAAACCAGAGAGGGUGAACAGGUUAAUCCCCAAGGGACUCCUAAAGGAGACAGGGAGGAAACAGGACAUGUCCUCUGGCAUCCUUAGACUGAGCAUCUGGUCUGCCCACAGGGCUUCUGUAUAAGACAUUCAUUAGGAGGCCUUGUUUCCAGGUCCCCCAAAGUAGAUCCUCAGUCACCCCACUUCCUGCUGAGUAAUGCUGCAUGCAAGAGCCACCGGGGAGAAGGCAGGAAGACAAAUCCAAUGGGUGGCGCAGUUACGAGCUGAGACUCAGGAUGGAGAAGUCAGAACUGUUCGUGUGCGCCCUGGCCUUGUGGGACCUCAGCAAGGGAACACAUCACUUACGGCCGAACAGCCGGGAGUCCUAGACAGAGAUACCUUCACUUUUAAGUGUUCUUGCCCAAAACAUUAGAGUUCUGCUCACAGAAAGGUGUAAUAGAAAGCAUAAGAGGUUUGGAAGCAAAGAGACCCGGGCUGGGAUUCUGGUAGUUGUGUCACUUUUGGCACUUUACAACCUCUGUGAGCCUAUUUCCUCAUCUUUAAGAUAGGAACAAUAAUAGUACCCAUUUCACAGGACCAUGCAAGCAUUAAAAUCACGUGAUGUACUUAGCAUAGGAAGUAGUCGAUAAAUGGUGGUUAUUAGUCACUCUAUCCCCCAUCCUAGCAUAUUGAGGAUAGCUUUCAUAGCCCUGCUCUUCCAUUAGAGGAUUUAAGACACUGCAAGCAGGACAAAGGUAGACCUGGACACGUGCCACUGGGGUCUCAGAGAAAAACCAACUUCUAUCACUCAACUUGCCCUGAAACGUUUCCUUCCCAGCAAGAAGUGAGGCCUCAGAGUAGGCACAGUGUAGAAGGGAGGGACCCCAUAAACUGCCACAUCCAAACCAAUGUUGGCCUUGGCAGGUACAACUCUCAAAAACAGACUUGACCCCCAGGCUUCCUGCAGGCCUCUGAGUCCAAUGAAAUCCACACGGCAGAAGGAUUCCAGCCCCUGGAGAAGUGUCCCCAUGUACCAGUCUCAUGCUCAGAACCUAAUGAAAGGCUGUCCCAGUGCAAAAAAUCCUUCGGGGAGAAAAUGGAAGCCCCUAUCUCAGCAACUAUCAUGCUGCAUUUGGUGUACUUUCUCAUGUUUUCCCUUGGUAGUCACCGGGAAUUUUAAGGGCAACAAGUUUAUUCAUUAAUGUACCUCUAGUGCCUAACAUAGUGCCUGGCACACAGCCAGUGCUCAAUGUUUGUUGAAUGAAUUUAGCCAAGAUCCCUGCUAUCUCCAACCUUGCCCCCGACACUGCUGACCACUUAAGAGAGGUAGAAGAUGUUGAGAUGUGAGACACAGCUGCCUGGGGCAAUAUCCCACCAAACAGAGCCCAAGGAAUAAGCUUGUACUCUGUGCUGCACACAGAGACAGCAGGGUACCAGGCUGUCUGCAAGGAUAACUCCCAGGCUGUCCAGAGCACUGAAAUACCUCCUCCUUCCCUGAAGAAACUGAGCUAGCUGGUCUUCAGACGGGAAGGCAGUGUAGGCACUGGAAUGUGGGCUGCAUGUUCCUGCAUUGCUGGCAAGUGUGCACGAUCUGGCACUGCAGCUGGCUGGUGGGAGGGCUGCAUCCUACUCCAGGAGGUGGUACCCUCAUGUGGGCUUUCCAAGAAGACCCAGAGCUCAGGGAAAGAAGAGAAAUGGCUGUCACCACAGCUCCAAAAUCCAAGGACAACAUGGAGUUUGGGGAUGGGUGUGUCCUCAACCCUUGGAAAGGAAGACAUACCCACACUAACUCUGCCCAUAUAGCCAGAUCACAACACUGGGGCAACCCUCUGUUCCCUAUAAACGCUAGGGCCACAGACUCCAGCCCUCCCUGAUCCACAAAAUCAUAUAAUUUUUAUCACUAACGUGCUUGAGAUGGAAGAUGGAGAAGUAAAUCCAUGCCCACUUCAGAGACAAACAGCUCUAAGCACAGGCCUUUCAGCUGGUGGGGAAGCUUGGGAAAUUAUGGCUGAACCAAAUCUAUUUUUUACAGCCUAAUUUCACAGUAACUUUCAGGCCAAGCACUCUAAGCCCUGAGUUGGGCCAUCCUGCAUUUCUACAUGCUGUAAUACAUUUCAAAAGGACCUUGUAGCUAACAGAAACCAGAGUCAAAGAAGGGCUACGACCCAACCUGAGACCAGUGAAAGAGUGUGCCUUGGUCAAACACCGAUCACCACAGACAGGUGCCCUCUCCUGCUUGAGCUGUCUUUUGCUCAGAUACACUGGGAAUGAGGACAAGGUCAGCUUCACAGGCCACCCAGGUUGGCUUCAGAGUAGCACAUAAAGGAAACUACCAUGGCCUCCAAGCCCAGAUCUCCAGGCACAGGACACCGAACAGUGACACAAUACUGCCCUGCCCAGGGGACAGGGCAGUUACCAACCGUUCUGGAAAAACCUGAGUCAGCUGAAGGCCAGGACUUCAAGAAAUUCUACCUUACUCCAAAGGUUGUUGCUUAAAGGCAAAGCUCUUCCCCACCCAUGGCCAAACCAAAAAUUCCAAAACCCUACCCCCCAAUGAAAUGAGAUUUUACCAAAACAACGGGGCAUUAAAAUGCCAACAGACACUAGGGUCCCAGGCUCUGCAAAGCAUUCUAAAAAAACAACUUGUGCCAAAUAGGGUGGAGGCCAGAGAAAUCAACAAGGCAGUACCUCGCUGCCAUGACUGCCAGGUUCUGGAGCGGGGGAGCCAAGGGAAGGACGGCAGGCUCAGUGAGUCCCUCUGUCAGCACCAACAGCAAAUGGCUGAGCCCCCACUACCUUCCCCUCUUCCUAAAGGAACCGCUGCUGAUAUUCUUCUUAUUAAGGCAUAAUUUACAUAAAACAAAAUAGACAUAUUUAAGUUGACGCACAGAGUUAUUUCUUAAGUUCACAUGUCUUCCCGAAUACUCCAAGACUUGCAUGUGGCCAACCCUCCCCCUUGUACCACGAGAGGGAAAUAAAUAGGCAAUGGGAAGGCGAAGCAGUUAAAGGGGUUGCCAAGAAGCCCCUUCAAUUUGUCCCUAUCGAAUCCUUCCAAGACGACAAGGGAUCCUAAAGGGGAGUGGCUCUUCCUUCAUCCAUUUGGUUAACCUUAACACAAAGAAAGAAGAAAAAAGCCUCCAUAGCUGAGAGUUACCCCACCCACUCACCCUGCUACCCCUGUCCAGCAUCAAUGCUCUUAACCUCAUGCUAAGCCAAUUCCAACAUCCCACUAUUACCUAGCCUCACUUGAUGUUAAAAUUCUUUCCUUGCAUGACUCAGGGACCAUCCAUCCUUCACAUACACUUCCCUAGUUUUAAAAGCUGCUGAAAAAUAGAAUCUGGACAUCCAGUAAUCAGCCCCUUAAGUCCCCUCCCCCACCUAAAAGUGUUUUGCUUCAUCAUCUCCAAGACAGGCCUGGGCACUAGGGGGUUAGCUGGAUCUUUUCUGCCUAAGGCUGUCACCUUGGGGACCCUUCUCAGGGCCACCCCAGGUGCAGACUAACAACUCUAGGGAAUUUAUCAGGGUUAAGUGGAAAAGACACGUUUGCCUUUACGAGCAACCAUCUGUCCUGCCACACUCACAGCCAGCAUUUCCAUCUCUUGCAAAACAGCUCCAUGUUGCAUGGGGGGUGGGGGGAUUGUGAUGCAAAGGGGAAGAGAACAACUGUUGCUGUGGAUAUCGCUGCUCAUCACCCCGUGCAUCCCCCUCCCCCAGCCAACUCAUUUUUUGG
Non-coding RNA from Equus caballus (horse), 5283 nucleotides. NCBI's taxonomy places the organism in Eukaryota, Metazoa, Chordata, Mammalia, Perissodactyla, Equidae. The record is from RefSeq and is a predicted model, not a curated record.